This 2446-nucleotide long non-coding RNA is filed under the name Canis lupus familiaris (dog). RNAcentral's name for it is "lncRNA (ENSCAFG00845026421.1)". Lineage: Eukaryota; Metazoa; Chordata; Mammalia; Carnivora; Canidae. The record is from RNAcentral.
UUUUUGAUGACUGCUUCAAUUUCCUCCCUGGUUAUUGGCCUGUUCAGGUUUUCUAUUUCUUCCUGUUCCAGUUUUGGUAGUUUGUGGCUUUCCAGGAAUGCGUCCAUUUCUUCUAGAUUGCCUAAUUUAUUGGCGUAUAGCUGUUCAUAAUAUGUUUUUAAAAUCGUUUGUAUUUCCUUGGUGUGGUGGUAGUGAUCUCUCCUUUCUCAUUCAUGAUUUUAUUAAUUUGAGUCUUCUCUCUCUUCUUUUUAAUAAGGCUGGCUAAUGGUUUAUCUAUCUUAUUAAUUCUUUCAAAGAACCAACUCCUGGUUUUGUUGAUCUGUUCCACAGUUCUUCUGGUCUCGAUUUCGUUGAGUUCUGCUCGAAUCUUUAUUAACUCCCUUCUUCUCUUGGGUGUAGGAUCUAUUUGCUGUUUUUUCUCUAGCUCCUUUAUGUGUAAGGUUAGCUUUUGUAUUUGAGUUCUUUCCUUUUUGAAUGGAUGCUUGUAUUGCGAUGUAUUUCCCCCUUAGGACUGCUUUUGCUGCAUCCCAAAGAUUUUGAACGGUUGUAUCUUCAUUCUCAUUAGUUUCCAUGAAUCUUUUUAAUUCUUCCUUAAUUUCCUGGUUGACCCUUUUAUCUUUUAGCAGGAUGGUCCUUAACCUCCACGUGUUUGAGGUCCUUCCAAACUUCUUGUUGUGAUUUAGUUCUAAUUUCAAGGCACUAUGGUCUGAGAAUAUGCAGGGGACAAUCCCAAUCUUUUGGUAUCGGUUCAGACCCGAUUUGUGACCCAAUAUGUGGUCUAUUCUGGAGAAAGUUCCAUGUGCGUUUGAGAAGAAUGUGUAUUCAGUUGAGUUUGGAUGUAAAGUUCUGUAGAUAUCUGUGAAAUCCAUCUGGUCCAGUGUAUCAUUUAAAGCUCUCGUUUCUUUGGAGAUGUUGUGCUUAGAAGACCUAUCGAGUAUAGAAAGAGCUAGAUUGAAGUCACCAAGUAUAAGUGUAUUAUUAUCUAAGUAUUUUUUCACUUUGGUUAAUGAUUGAUAUAUUUGGCAGCUCCCACAUUCGGGGCAUAUAUAUUGAGGAUUGUUAAGUCCUCUUGUUGAAUAGAUCCUUUAAGUAUGAUAUAGUGUCCCUCUUCAUCUCUCACUACAGUCUUUGGGGUAAAUUUUAGUUUAUCUGAUAUAAGGAUGGCUACCCCUGCUUUCUUUUGAGGACCAUUCGAAUGGUAAAUGGUUCUCCAACCUUUUAUUUUCAGGCUGUAGGUGUCCUUCUGUCUAAAAUGAGUCUCUUGUAGACAGCAAAUAGAUGGGUCCUGCUUUUUUAUCCAGUCUGAAACCCUGCGCCUUUUGAUGGGGUCGUUAAGCCCGUUCACAUUCAGAGUUACUAUUGAGAGAUAUGAGUUUAGUGUCAUCAUGAUAUCUAUUCAGUCCUUGUUUUUGUGGACUGUUCCACUGAACUUCUUCUUAAAGGGGAAUUUUAAGAGUCCCCCUUAAAAUUUCUUGCAGAGCUGGUUUGGAGGUCACAUAUUCUUUUAGUUGCUGCCUGUCUUGGAAGCUCUUUAUCUCUCCUUCCAUUUUGAAUGAGAGCCUUGCUGGAUAAAGUAUUCUUGGUUGCAUGUUCUUCUCAUUUAGGACCCUGAAUAUAUCCUGCCAGCCCUUUCUGGCCUGCCAGGUCUCUGUGGAGAGGUCUGCUGUUACCCUAAUACUCCUCCCCAUAAAAGUCAGGGAUUUCUUGUCUCUUGCUGCUUUAAGGAUCUUCUCUUUAUCUUUGGAAUUUGCAAGCUUCACUAUUAAAUGUCGAGGUGUUGAACGGUUUUUUAUUGAUUUUAGGGGGGGAUCUCUCUAUUUCCUGGAUCUGAAUGCCUGUUUCCCUUCCCAGAUUAGGAAAGUUUUCAGCUAGAAUUUGUUCAAAUACAUAUUCUGGCCCUCUGUCCCUUUCGGCGCCCUCGGGAACCCCAAUUAAACGUAGGUUUUUCUUUCUCAGGCUGUCGUUUAUUUCCCUUAAUCUAUCCUCAUGGUCUUUAAUUGUUUGUCUCUUUUUUCCUCAGUUUCCCUCUUUGCUAUCAACUUGUCUUCUAUGUCACUCACUCGUUCUUCCACCUUGUUAACCCUCGUCGUUAGGACUUCUAGUUUGGAUUGCAUCUCAUUCAAUUGAUUUUUAAUUUCCGCCUGAUUAGCUCUAAAUUCUGCAGUCAUGAAGUCUCUUGAGUCCUUUAUGCUUUUUUCUAGAGCCACCAGUAGCUGUAUAAUAGUGCUUCUGAAUUGGCUUUCUGACAUUGAAUUGUAAUCCAGAUUUUGUAACUCUGUGGGAGAGAGGACUGUUUCUGAUUCUUUCUUUUGAGGUGAGGUUUUCCUUCUAGUCAUUUUGCUCAGUGCAGAGUGGCCAAAAGCAAGUUGUAUUGGGAAAAAGAGAAAAAGAGAGGAGAGAAAGAAGGAAAGAAAAGAGAAAGAGAAAAAAAAGGGAAGAAAAAAAA